RNAcentral lists this ribosomal RNA (253 nucleotides) under uncultured bacterium. RNAcentral describes it as "partial 16S ribosomal RNA". It matches the Rfam family "Bacterial small subunit ribosomal RNA", at positions 524 to 776 of the family's 1533-position model. The record is from RNAcentral.
UACGUAGGGUGCAAGCGUUGUCCGGAAUUAUUGGGCGUAAAGAGCUCGUAGGCGGUUUGUCGCGUCUGCCGUGAAAGUCCGGGGCUCAACUCCGGAUCUGCGGUGGGUACGGGCAGACUAGAGUGCAGUAGGGGAGACUGGAAUUCCUGGUGUAGCGGUGAAAUGCGCAGAUAUCAGGAGGAACACCGGUGGCGAAGGCGGUUCUCUGGGCCUGUUCUGACGCUGAGGAGCGAAAGCGUGGGGAGCGAACAGG